RNAcentral lists this small RNA (3446 nucleotides) under Pan troglodytes (chimpanzee). RNAcentral describes it as "transcribed unitary pseudogene". Lineage: Eukaryota; Metazoa; Chordata; Mammalia; Primates; Hominidae. The record is from RNAcentral.
AUGACGGGGUUCAGAAAGUUAAAACUUCUUCUCUGGAAGGAUUUCAUCUUAAAGUUGGUAUGGUUAUCUGUGGGAAGAUAUAAGUCCUUGGAGGGGAUUGAAUGUUUAAGUUAAAUUGGUUCAUAAUAACGGGUUAAAGAACAAUUAAGAACUUUACAUGGAAAGGGGCCCUUUUCUGCAAAUGAGUCAUGUAAUUAUUAAAGAUGACAUCAUUGUUACUGAUUUCUGGCCAUUGGAGUUACAGAAAGGCUAAAAGGAGAUGUUUCAAACUAAUUCUUACUCUGUGUUUUUCUUUUUCAUGUGUUUUGCAGGGAGACUGGAAGAAAUUAAAGUGUUCUAAAUGGAAGAGCAUUCACCACAUGUGUUCUGUUUUGGGUUGACAUUUAGCUUUUGUUUUUAUUUUAGAAACGGAAGACUCUGGUAGCAAUCCUUGAAAUCUUGAUGCCAUUGCUAUUUUCUGCAUUGUAUUGUAUCUUCGUUUUAGUAGUGCUCCAAUAAAAAGACCUGCCACUAGCUGCCAUGCAAUUGAUAUCAGUUCAUUGCCAGACUUCUACAGUUUUCCUGAAAAAUAGAUUUCAACUAGUUUAUAUCCCUUCUAAAAGUGAAACAUUGAAGGCUGUCACCGAAAUGGUGGAACGGAUCUUUGAUGUUGAGUUUGAAGGCUAUUCUUCAGUGUCUUUGUUUGAACGUUAUAUAAUUGAUGAUCCCAAAGCUUUCUACUUAUUGGCAGGAAUUGUUUUUGACCACAGCGUCAAUGACAGCAAUGGAUCUUUGCCACUUGCGGUUAAGUAUCAAUUGCGCUUCAGUUACUUUCAGAAGAAUUUUAUACCGGGGAAGAAUAUAUUUUUUCAAGAUGACAUAGAAGGCUGGUGGACAUCCUUUCUUUACCCUCCCAAUCCACGCCAAGAACCCCGGGAAUUUCCAUUUGCUGAUGGGGGAAGUCCUGGAUACAACAAAGAAGGCUUCCUGGCCAUACAGUAUGCUGUGGAUAAAGCCAUCAUGUGGUACCAUGCUCACAAUGCAAUGACCAACAUGUUUGAGAAUCUCAAUGUACUUGUGAAGAGAUUCCCAUAUGGACCCUAUAUCGAGGACAGGUUCUUCCUAGUCCUUCAGAAUGAGUUUUCUGUGUUCUUCAUACUCAGCUUCAUGUGCAUUGAGCUCGUCAUCAUCAGUUCCAUUGUACUGGAGAAAGAGAAAAGACUGAAGACACUGGGUUGCUUGGUUCAUCACGUUCUUCAUUUCUGUCUUCAUUGCUGUUUCUUUCAUUGACCAUUCUCUUCUGCACAGAGAAAUGUGGCAAUGCUUAAGAACAGUGACCCUAGUCUGAUAUUUGUUUUUCUAAUGUGUUUUGCCAUUGCCACAAUUUUCUUUGCAUUCAUGAUCAGCACAUUCUUCCAAAGAGGUCUUAUUCCCCCUACAAGUGGAUGUGCAUAUGUCAAUGGAUAUGAAAUUUCACAAGAGAUGUUUCACAUUAGGAAGAGCCUGGGCUGGUGCCCCCAACAUGAUGUCUUAUCUGAUAAGUUAACAGUAGCAGAACAUCUUUCUUUCUAUGGUCAGCUGAAGGGCCUGUCACGUCAGAAGUGCCCUGAAGUCAAGCAGGUGCUGCACAUCAUCAGCCUGGAGGACAAGUGGAACUCAGGGAGCCGCUUCCUGAGCGGGGGCAUGAGGCGCAAGCUCUCCAUCGGCAUCGCCCUCAUCGCAGGCUCCAAGGUUUGAAUCUCUAUUUACUGACUUGGAACUGAGGCAGGUAGAGCUGGGCAUCUCCAGCUUUGGGGCCUCUGUCAUGACCAUAGAGGAUGUCUUCAUAAGUCUUCUCUGCCAACAAUUUUAUGCCAUGCUCCUGAAAAAGGUCACAUAUUCUUAACACAACUGGAUGUUGAUGUUAUCAAUACAGAUCCUGGUCCCUCUGGUGAUCAUCAUGUUAAGCCUCACGUUCUUCAAUUUCAAAGAAAGAAGCAUAGAAAAUGUCCCAUUGGAGCUGACUCUGAAAACAUAUGGUCAGACCAUUGUUCCUUUCUUUAUUUCUCAGAAUUCCAGGCUGGAUCCUCAACUUUCAGAAUGCUUUGCAAAUAUGCUUAUGGUUGAGGGACAGAUUCCUCUGGAGGUCCUAGGUUCUGUAGAUGAGUUCCUAUUGAAAAAGGCAAAAGAGGAGCCUGAGGACUUUGAUAAGCUCUACUUAGUGGCAGCUUCCUUUGAAGACGUGGGAAAUCACACCAUAGUGACAGCGCUGUUCAACAACCAGGCAUACCAUUCUUCUGCCCUGGCUCUGGCGCUAUUGGACAAUUUUCUCUUGAAGUUGCUUUCUGGUGCCAGGGCUUCCAUUACCGUAGCCAACCACCCUCAACCUCAGUCAGCCAUGGAGGAUUCAGAGAAAAGGACAUUACCUUGUUAUCAACUUGCUUUUUGGAUUAGCUUUCCUGUCUAGCUCUUUUUCCAUGUUGACAGUCAGAGAGAGGCGCGUUAAGGCCAAGCUUGUCCAGUUUAUCAAUGGAGUUUAUGUGGCCACUUUCUGGCUCUCCACUCUGCUAUGGGACCUCAUCUCCUUCCUCAUCCCCAGUCUGCUGCUGGUGAUCUCAAAAUCCUUGGAUUAUACAUUCCUAAUACUUCCAGGCCACUGCCUAGGGAUGGCUUUCACCAACUUAUAUUACAACUCUGAACUACAGAGGUUUUGCAGUGUCAAGAACCUGAGUGUAUGGUGGUGGAUUGGUUACUGUCCUCAGUUUGAUGCUCUGCUGAACUUCAUGACAGGCCAUGAGAUGCUGGUCAUGUAUGCCCAGAGCGGGGGCAUCCCAGAGCACCCCAUCAGUGCUAGUGUGGACCAGAUUCUUGAGGAUUUAGUCAUGUACAUGUACGCCGACAAGCUGGUCAAGACCUACAGGGUGGUGGUAACAAGCCGAAGUUGAGCACUGGCAUUGAUCGCCCUGAUUGGAGAGCCUGCCUUCAUCUUCCUGGAUGAGCCAUCCACUGGCAUGGACCCCGUGGCCCGGCGCCUGUUCUGGAAUGCUGUGGCACAAGCCCACGAGUCUGGCAAGGCCAUCAUCAUCACCUCCCAUAGCAUGGAGGAGUGUGAGGCCCUGUGCAGCCGGCUGGCCAUCAUGGUGCAGGGGCAGUUCAAGUGCCUGGGCAGCCCCCAGCACCUCAAGAGCAAGUUCGGCAGUGGCUACUCCCUGCAGGCCAAGGUGCAGAGUGAAGGGCAGCAGGAGGUGCUGGAGGAGUUCAAGGCCUUCGUGGACCUGACCUUUCCAGGCAGCGUUCUUGAAGACAAGCACCAAGGCAUGGUCCAUUACCACCUGCUGGGCUGCAACCUCAGCUGGGCGAAGUGUUUGGCACUCUGGAGCAAGCCAAGAAGUACAUGCUGGACAACUACUCAGCAGUCAGGUCACCAUGGAGGACGUCUUCCUGAGCUUCGCCUGCCCUGUGCCCCUAGUCCAAAGUGAAGACCAACG